This 230-nucleotide ribosomal RNA is filed under the name uncultured bacterium. Its description in RNAcentral is "partial 16S ribosomal RNA". It matches the Rfam family "Bacterial small subunit ribosomal RNA", at positions 563 to 791 of the family's 1533-position model. The record is from RNAcentral.
AAGCGCGCGUAGGUGGUUUGUUAAGUUGGAUGUGAAAGCCCCGGGCUCAACCUGGGAACUGCAUCCAAAACUGGCAAGCUAGAGUAUGGGUAGAGGGUGGUGGAAUUUCCUGUGUAGCGGUGAAAUGCGUAGAUAUAGGAAGGAACACCAGUGGCGAAGGCGACCACCUGGACUGAUACUGACACUGAGGUGCGAAAGCGUGGGGAGCAAACAGGAUUAGAUACCCGAGU